AUUCUGCCCAAGCGGGGAAGGAUGAGAAGCUUCGACCAAGGUUCGACUUGAGCGCCAGCGAGAGAGCGUUGCCGCAGGCAACGACCC
This 87-nucleotide small RNA is filed under the name Escherichia coli. Its description in RNAcentral is "partial RtT sRNA". It matches the Rfam family "RtT RNA", at positions 1 to 85 of the family's 130-position model. From Rfam's summary of the family: This family represents a bacterial cis-regulatory element known as RtT RNA. The exact function of RtT is unknown although it is thought that it may be involved in changing the cellular response in relation to amino acid starvation. RNAcentral also lists the same sequence under 1 other name. Lineage: Bacteria; Pseudomonadati; Pseudomonadota; Gammaproteobacteria; Enterobacterales; Enterobacteriaceae. The record is from RNAcentral.